CAGUCGCCGCGGUAAUACGAAGGGGGCUAGCGUUGUUCGGAAUUACUGGGCGUAAAGCGCACGUAGGCGGAUAUUUAAGUCAGGGGUGAAAUCCCGCAGCUCAACUGCGGAACUGCCUUUGAUACUGGGUAUCUUGAGUAUGGAAGAGGUUAGUGGAAUUGCGAGUGUAGAGGUGAAAUUCGUAGAUAUUCGCAGGAGCACCAGUGGCGAAGGCGGCUAACUGGUCCAUAACUGACGCUGAGGUGCGAAAGCGUGGGGAGCAAACAGGAUUAGAUACCCCUGUAGUCCCUGUCUCUUAUAC
RNAcentral lists this ribosomal RNA (301 nucleotides) under uncultured bacterium. RNAcentral's name for it is "partial 16S ribosomal RNA". It matches the Rfam family "Bacterial small subunit ribosomal RNA", at positions 509 to 807 of the family's 1533-position model. The record is from RNAcentral.